Molecule: ribosomal RNA, 433 nt
Filed under: uncultured bacterium
Lineage: Bacteria
Description: partial 16S ribosomal RNA
Rfam family: Bacterial small subunit ribosomal RNA
Source: RNAcentral
AACGAACGCUGGCGGCAUGCCUAACACAUGCAAGUCGAACGAGACCUUCGGGUCUAGUGGCGCACGGGUGCGUAACGCGUGGGAACCUGCCCUUAGGUUCGGAAUAACUCCCCGAAAGGGGUGCUAAUACCGGAUAAUGUCUUCGGACCAAAGAUUUAUCGCCUUUGGAUGGGCCCGCGUUGGAUUAGCUAGUUGGUAGGGUAAAAGCCUACCAAGGCGACGAUCCAUAGCUGGUCUGAGAGGAUGAUCAGCCACACUGAGACUGAGACACGGCCCAGACUCCUACGGGAGGCAGCAGUGGGGAAUAUUGGACAAUGGGCGAAAGCCUGAUCCAGCAAUGCCGCGUGAGUGAUGAAGGCCUUAGGGUUGUAAAGCUCUUUUACCCGGGAUGAUAAUGACAGUACCGGGAGAAUAAGCUCCGGCUAACUCCGUG